Molecule: ribosomal RNA, 433 nt
Filed under: uncultured bacterium
Lineage: Bacteria
Description: partial 16S ribosomal RNA
Rfam family: Bacterial small subunit ribosomal RNA
Source: RNAcentral
AACGAACGCUGGCGGCAUGCCUAACACAUGCAAGUCGAACGAAGGCUUCGGCCUUAGUGGCGCACGGGUGCGUAACGCGUGGGAAUCUGCCCUUUGGUUCGGAAUAACAGCUGGAAACGGCUGCUAAUACCGGAUGAUGACGAAAGUCCAAAGAUUUAUCGCCAGAGGAUGAGCCCGCGUUGGAUUAGGUAGUUGGUGGGGUAAAGGCCUACCAAGCCGACGAUCCAUAGCUGGUCUGAGAGGAUGAUCAGCCACACUGGGACUGAGACACGGCCCAGACUCCUAUGGGAGGCAGCAGUGGGGAAUAUUGGACAAUGGGCGCAAGCCUGAUCCAGCAAUGCCGCGUGAGUGAUGAAGGCCCUAGGGUUGUAAAGCUCUUUUACCCGGGAAGAUAAUGACUGUACCGGGAGAAUAAGCCCCGGCUAACUCCGUG